This 232-nucleotide ribosomal RNA is filed under the name uncultured bacterium. Its description in RNAcentral is "partial 16S ribosomal RNA". It matches the Rfam family "Bacterial small subunit ribosomal RNA", at positions 118 to 347 of the family's 1533-position model. The record is from RNAcentral.
UGAGCAAUCUGCCCUUCUCAUCGGAAUAAGCGUUGGAAACGACGUCUAAUGCCGAAUACGACCUCCUUUCGCAUGAUCGGAGGUGGAAAGCUCCGGCGGAGAAGGAUGAGCUCGCGGCCUAUCAGCUAGUUGGUGUGGGUAAUGGCCCACCAAGGCGACGACGGGUAGCCGGCCUGAGAGGGUGACCGGCCACACUGGGACUGAGACACGGCCCAGACUCCAACGGGAGCAG